RNAcentral lists this unclassified non-coding RNA (21 nucleotides) under Mus musculus (house mouse). RNAcentral describes it as "oocyte_clustered_small_RNA12312". The record is from RNAcentral. Lineage: Eukaryota; Metazoa; Chordata; Mammalia; Rodentia; Muridae.
UUUCUGGCCUUCUUCCAGCUC